UCCUGGCUUAGGACGAACGCUGGCGGCGUGCCUAACACAUGCAAGUCGAGCGAGGAGAUCCUUCGGGAUGAUCCUAGCGGCGGACGGGUGAGUAACACGUGGGCAACCUGCCUCAUAGAGAGGAAUAGCCUUCCGAAAGGGAGAUUAAUACCUCAUAACAUUGCAGUUUCGCAUGGAACAGCAAUUAAAGGAGCAAUCCACUAUGAGAUGGGCCCGCGGCGCAUUAGCUAGUUGGUGAGGUAACGGCUCACCAAGGCGACGAUGCGUAGCCGACCUGAGAGGGUGAUCGGCCACAUUGGGACUGAGACACGGCCCAGACUCCUACGGGAGGCAGCAGUGGGGAAUAUUGCACAAUGGGGGAAACCCUGAUGCCAGCAACGCCGCGUGAGUGAUGACGGCCUUCGGGUUGUAAAGCUCUGUCUUCAGGGACGAUAAUGACGGUACCUGAGGAGGAAGCCACGGCUAACUACGUGCCAGCCGCCGC
RNAcentral lists this ribosomal RNA (484 nucleotides) under uncultured bacterium. Its description in RNAcentral is "bacterial SSU rRNA". It matches the Rfam family "Bacterial small subunit ribosomal RNA", at positions 17 to 518 of the family's 1533-position model. The record is from RNAcentral.